GGGCAAUUGGUCUAGGGGUAUGAUUUUCGCUUCGCAUUGUUUCCUCACCGAUGCAACUGUGAAAGGUCACCGGUUCGAAUCCGGUAUUGUCCA
This is a non-coding RNA of Sordaria macrospora k-hell, 93 nucleotides long. Lineage: Eukaryota; Fungi; Ascomycota; Sordariomycetes; Sordariales; Sordariaceae. The record is from Rfam.